Molecule: ribosomal RNA, 1345 nt
Filed under: uncultured bacterium
Lineage: Bacteria
Description: bacterial SSU rRNA
Rfam family: Bacterial small subunit ribosomal RNA
Source: RNAcentral
GAUGAACGCUAGCGGGAGGCCUAACACAUGCAAGCCGAGCGGUAUUGUUUCUUCGGAAAUGAGAGAGCGGCGUACGGGUGCGGAACACGUGUGCAACCUGCCUUUAUCUGGGGGAUAGCCUUUCGAAAGGAAGAUUAAUACUCCAUAAUAUAUUGAACGGCAUCGUUUAAUAUUGAAAGCUCCGGCGGAUAGAGAUGGGCACGCGCAAGAUUAGCUAGUUGGUGAGGUAACGGCUCACCAAGGCGAUGAUCUUUAGGGGGCCUGAGAGGGUGAUCCCCCACACUGGUACUGAGACACGGACCAGACUCCUACGGGAGGCAGCAGUGAGGAAUAUUGGUCAAUGGGUGCAAGCCUGAACCAGCCAUCCCGCGUGAAGGACGACUGCCCUAUGGGUUGUAAACUUCUUUUGUAUAGGGAUAAACCUACCCUCGUGAGGGUAGCUGAAGGUACUAUACGAAUAAGCACCGGCUAACUCCGUGCCAGCAGCCGCGGUAAUACGGAGGGUGCAAGCGUUAUCCGGAUUUAUUGGGUUUAAAGGGUCCGUAGGCGGACUUAUAAGUCAGUGGUGAAAGCCUGUCGCUUAACGAUAGAACUGCCAUUGGUACUGUAAGUCUUGAGUAUAUUUGAGGUAGCUGGAAUAAGUAGUGUAGCGGUGAAAUGCAUAGAUAUUACUUAGAACACCAAUUGCGAAGGCAGGUUACCAAGAUAUAACUGACGCUGAGGGACGAAAGCGUGGGGAGCGAACAGGAUUAGAUACCCUGGUAGUCCACGCCGUAAACGAUGCUAACUCGUUUUUGGGCUUUAGGGUUCAGAGACCAAGCGAAAGUGAUAAGUUAGCCACCUGGGGAGUACGCUCGCAAGAAUGAAACUCAAAGGAAUUGACGGGGGCCCGCACAAGCGGUGGAUUAUGUGGUUUAAUUCGAUGAUACGCGAGGAACCUUACCAAGACUUAAAUGGGAAUUGACAGCUUUAGAAAUAGAGCUUUCUUCGGACAAUUUUCAAGGUGCUGCAUGGUUGUCGUCAGCUCGUGCCGUGAGGUGUUAGGUUAAGUCCUGCAACGAGCGCAACCCCUGUCACUAGUUGCCAUCAUUCAGUUGGGGACUCUAGUGAGACUGCCUACGCAAGUAGAGAGGAAGGUGGGGAUGACGUCAAAUCAUCACGGCCCUUACGUCUUGGGCCACACACGUAAUACAAUGGCCGGUACAGAGGGCAGCUACACAGCGAUGUGAUGCAAAUCUCGAAAGCCGGUCUCAGUUCGGAUUGGAGUCUGCAACUCGACUCUAUGAAGCUGGAAUCGCUAGUAAUCGCGCAUCAGCCAUGGCGCGGUGAAUACGUUCCCGGGCCU